RNAcentral lists this ribosomal RNA (401 nucleotides) under uncultured bacterium. RNAcentral describes it as "bacterial SSU rRNA". It matches the Rfam family "Bacterial small subunit ribosomal RNA", at positions 30 to 430 of the family's 1533-position model. The record is from RNAcentral.
AUUGAACGCUGGCGGCAUGCCUUACACAUGCAAGUCGAACGGCAGCGCGGGGCAACCUGGCGGCGAGUGGCGAACGGGUGAGUAACAUAUCGGAACAUACCCUAGAGUGGGGAUAACGUAGCGAAAGUUACGCUAAUACCGCAUACGCACUAAGGUGGAAAGUGGGGGAUUCGCAAGAACCUCAUGCUCAUGGAGUGGCCGAUAUCUGAUUAGCUAGUUGGUGAGGUAAAGGCUCACCAAGGCGACGAUCAGUAGCUGGUUUGAGAGAACGACCAGCCACACUGGAACUGAGACACGGUCCAGACUCCUACGGAGGCAGCAGUGGGGAAUUUUGGGACAAUGGGGGGCAACCCUGAUCCAGCAAUGCCGCGUGAGUGAAGAAGGCCUUCGGGUUGGUUAAA